GACGUAGGGCGCGAGCGUUGUCCGGAUUUAUUGGGCGUAAAGAGCUCGUAGGCGGCUCGUUGCGUCGGCUGUGAAAACCCGCAGCUCAACUGUGGGCUUGCAGCCGAUACGGGCGGGCUGGGAUUCGGUAGGGGAGACUGGAAUUCCUGGUGAGCGGUGAAAUGCGCAGAUAUCAGGAGGAACACCCGUGGCGAAAGCGGCUCUCUGGGACGGUACUGACGCUGAGACGCGAAAGCGUGGGGAGCAAACAGG
This 252-nucleotide ribosomal RNA is filed under the name uncultured bacterium. Its description in RNAcentral is "partial 16S ribosomal RNA". It matches the Rfam family "Bacterial small subunit ribosomal RNA", at positions 524 to 776 of the family's 1533-position model. The record is from RNAcentral.